Molecule: ribosomal RNA, 837 nt
Filed under: Leptosphaerulina gaeumannii
Lineage: Eukaryota; Fungi; Ascomycota; Dothideomycetes; Pleosporales; Didymellaceae
Description: eukaryotic LSU rRNA
Rfam family: Eukaryotic large subunit ribosomal RNA
Source: RNAcentral
AUUGCCCUAGUAACGGCGAGUGAAGCGGCAACAGCUCAAAUUUGAAAUCUGGCGUCUUUGGCGUCCGAGUUGUAAUUUGCAGAGGGCGCUUUGGCAUUGGCAGCGGUCCAAGUUCCUUGGAACAGGACGUCACAGAGGGUGAGAAUCCCGUACGUGGUCGCUAGCCUUUACCGUGUAAAGCCCCUUCGACGAGUCGAGUUGUUUGGGAAUGCAGCUCUAAAUGGGAGGUAAAUUUCUUCUAAAGCUAAAUACUGGCCAGAGACCGAUAGCGCACAAGUAGAGUGAUCGAAAGAUGAAAAGCACUUUGGAAAGAGAGUUAAAAAGCACGUGAAAUUGUUGAAAGGGAAGCGCUUGCAGCCAGACUUGCCUGUAGUUGCUCAUCCGGGUUUCUACCCGGUGCACUCUUCUAUAGGCAGGCCAGCAUCAGUUUGGGCGGUUGGAUAAAGGUCUCUGUCAUGUACCUCCUUUCGGGGAGAACUUAUAGGGGAGACGACAUGCAACCAGCCUGGACUGAGGUCCGCGCAUCUGCUAGGAUGCUGGCGUAAUGGCUGUAAGCGGCCCGUCUUGAAACACGGACCAAGGAGUCUAACAUCUAUGCGAGUGUUUGGGUGUCAAGCCCGAGCGCGUAAUGAAAGUGAACGGAGGUGGGAACCUUUCGGGUGCACCAUCGACCGAUCCUGAUGUCUUCGGAUGGAUUUGAGUAAGAGCAUAGCUGUUGGGACCCGAAAGAUGGUGAACUAUGCUUGAAUAGGGUGAAGCCAGAGGAAACUCUGGUGGAGGCUCGCAGCGGUUCUGACGUGCAAAUCGAUCGUCAAAUUUGGGCAUAGGGGCGAAAGA